Molecule: ribosomal RNA, 100 nt
Filed under: Faecalicoccus acidiformans
Lineage: Bacteria; Bacillati; Bacillota; Erysipelotrichia; Erysipelotrichales; Erysipelotrichaceae
Description: partial 16S ribosomal RNA
Rfam family: Bacterial small subunit ribosomal RNA
Source: RNAcentral
UCAAAUGGAGAGUUUGAUCCUGGCUCAGGAUGAACGCUGGCGGCAUGCCUAAUACAUGCAAGUCGAACGGACGGAAGGGAAGCUUGCUUUCUGGAAGUCA